RNAcentral lists this long non-coding RNA (680 nucleotides) under Cricetulus griseus (Chinese hamster). RNAcentral describes it as "lncRNA (ENSCGRG00015031284.1)". Lineage: Eukaryota; Metazoa; Chordata; Mammalia; Rodentia; Cricetidae. The record is from RNAcentral.
CGCGCGCGCGCGCGCGUGCCUGUGUGUGUGUGUUUCUCGUGUCCUCUAAAAGGCUGCAUUGCUCAGCCUUUGAAGCUGGGCGGGAGGGGCUUGGCCCAGGCUGCAAGACACAGAGCUUCCCUUUUCUUUUGUAGUGGCUCUUCCUGCACAGCAGAGGGUAUCUCAAAAGGCUGAUGAAAACCUCAAGAGAGGAAUGGGAAGCCUUCUAAACCAUGCCUGUCUUCCCUGUUAUCAGGCAUGUCCCUUGCCAGUUUGUGGUGCUGAGCUGUCUUCCUCAGCAUUUGCUUUCAUCUUCUCGUUCUCCCUCCCGCCUUCCUAAUCCCCUUUCACAAGUCAAGCCAGGAGCUGCAGUCUCUAAUUUGCAGAGGCGACAGGUUGAUGAAUAAAACACUGAUUGGUCAGUAGCCAGGCAGGAAGUAUAGGAGGGGCUACCAGACCAGGAGAAUUCUGGGGAGAGGAAGGCAGAGAGAAGCUAAAAGGGAGAUGCUAUGUAGCUGCUGAAAGAGGAACAUGCUGGAGCAUUCUCUGGUAAGCCAAAACCACAUGGAGAUACACAGUUUAAUAGAAAUGGGUUAAUAGAGAGAGCUAGCCCAUACCAUAAAAAGCCUAAGCCAUCAGCCAAACAGUUUAUAAUUAAUAUAAGCCUCUGUAUAUUUAUUUUGGGGCCAAACGGCAUCAGG